This 520-nucleotide ribosomal RNA is filed under the name uncultured bacterium. RNAcentral's name for it is "bacterial SSU rRNA". It matches the Rfam family "Bacterial small subunit ribosomal RNA", at positions 501 to 1017 of the family's 1533-position model. The record is from RNAcentral.
CUACGUGCCAGCAGCCGCGGUAAUACGUAGGGCGCGAGCGUUGUCCGGAAUUAUUGGGCGUAAAGAGCUUGUAGGCGGUUUGUCGCGUCUGCUGUGAAAGGCCGGGGCUUAACCCCGUGUAUUGCAGUGGGUACGGGCAGACUAGAGUGCAGUAGGGGAGACUGGAAUUCCUGGUGUAGCGGUGGAAUGCGCAGAUAUCAGGAGGAACACCGAUGGCGAAGGCAGGUCUCUGGGCUGUAACUGACGCUGAGAAGCGAAAGCAUGGGGAGCGAACAGGAUUAGAUACCCUGGUAGUCCAUGCCGUAAACGUUGGGCACUAGGUGUGGGGGACAUUCCACGUUUUCCGCGCCGUAGCUAACGCAUUAAGUGCCCCGCCUGGGGAGUACGGCCGCAAGGCUAAAACUCAAAGAAAUUGACGGGGACCCGCACAAGCGGUGGAGCAUGUGGUUUAAUUCGAAGCAACGCGAAGAACCUUACCAAGUCUUGACAUCCUUUGACCACUCUAGAGAUAGAGCUUUCC